UAAAAGUAUCUUUGUUGAUGGCAUUAGAGGACACUGAAGAACAACAUCCAAAAGAUUAUUAUUUGUAAUGAUGGAAGUAGUUUUGGAGGUGGCAAAAGCUGUAGUAAUCUUGGCCAUAACAGCAAUCAGUCUUCGAAUUUUGGAUCCAUGAAGGGAGGAGGAUUUGGAGGCAGAAGCCCUGGCCCCUAUGGUGAUGGAGGCCAAUAUUUUGCCAAAACAUGAAACCAAGAUGGCUAUGGCAGUUCCAGCAGCCCUGGUGGCCAGGGCGGUGGCAGAAAGCUUUA
Molecule: long non-coding RNA, 284 nt
Filed under: Homo sapiens (human)
Lineage: Eukaryota; Metazoa; Chordata; Mammalia; Primates; Hominidae
Description: non-protein coding lnc-AP2S1-1:1
Source: RNAcentral